CGCUAACCUCACUGACAAGCCGCCAGCCAGAAGAAACUUUUGUGACACAAAGUAUCCAUAUCCAUCCUGGCCGGUCCCUGUGGCAAAUUCUAAAUAAGGACUACUAUUGUGCUAAACAUUCAUGCUAAACGUUCCUGGCUUAUAUUUUUAUAUUUAAGAGGGAAAGUGGGGCUAGAUUAUGGUUUUAACACUAUAGGGUCAGGAAUACAGGUUUGUGUUCUUUUAAUGUAUAUUCUCCAAAAUUCAGCUAAUUACGAGCAAAAGAUGCUGUGGAAAUUACAGUACAGAGCACCAUGGCAACAAGAGCACACUGACUUCUAAGUAGUGUUUUGUGUGGACGCUGUAGUAGUGUUUCUAAACAGAAAUAAACUUGAUCUAAAAAUGAUUGUUACCCUCUCCCGACUACCUUAGGUAGGGAAUCCCUACAGCUGAGCUCUGACUCACUAAGUGUGCCCCAGAACCGCAUGGGAGAGCUUACAAUGCAAAGUAUCAGCGGAGUGAGCAAACAGUGAAAAUCACCACCGAACCAUGAGCUCAGCCAGCACUGGACUACCAAGCUAUGCUUUCCUAUGGGGAGCACUAAUGCGCAUGCCGACGCAGUCAGAAAGAGGAGCGGCGUGGAGGGAGAAGCAGCAACGUGGGACAUCGUCGCUGCCUCAGGUAAGUUACUGAAGGGGUUUUCAUCCCUUCAGCAACCGGGGAUUGACAGAGGGGGGGGGGGGCUUCCUGGCACUGGAGUUUCCCUUUAAGGUGGUCUAAGUGCAAUGUCCCGGUUAGUCCUGCAAUUCCUGGUGGUUAAGCAACUUUUGGUUGCCUGACGCUAGAUGUCCUCACGCUCUGCAUGAGGACAUCCAGCAUUAGUGAAAUCCUGAUAAGAAAGCAUUGAAGGAAAGUUUUCCUAUGGGGAGGGCCUAAUGCUCUUACAAUGCAUGCACAUUAGGGUUCACCACCCAGAGGAUGUUGAGGAAGACUGACAAGGGUAUCGGUUAAGUGUUAAAAGGUUAGUAGAAAGCAGAGGAGAGGCUAUGUGGCCUAAUCCAAAUUAAUUGGGAUAGGAAGAUAGAGGUCAGUGUGGGGGUACCAGAUCCACUAAGCGGGCUUGGACCCAAAAGGAAAAAAAACAAAAACAAAAAAAAACCCCCAUACAUUUAGGCAAAAAAACAAACGCAUACACCCCAAUCAAGGUGGGAGGGCUGAAUACUGAUAUUUAAAGAAGGGAAAACAUUACAAAUUGACAGCUAUAAUAACUAGCUUAGAAAUGAGCCUUGUGGGGCAGUAGUGAAAAAUUACUGCAGCUAUAAGUACAAAUUCUAUCUAGUAGGAAAAUACUGUGUAAAACCAG
Molecule: non-coding RNA, 1342 nt
Organism: Pelobates cultripes (western spadefoot toad)
Lineage: Eukaryota; Metazoa; Chordata; Amphibia; Anura; Pelobatidae
Source: the annotation of a GenBank genome assembly